RNAcentral lists this ribosomal RNA (669 nucleotides) under uncultured Escherichia sp. RNAcentral's name for it is "bacterial SSU rRNA". It matches the Rfam family "Bacterial small subunit ribosomal RNA", at positions 61 to 719 of the family's 1533-position model. The record is from RNAcentral. Lineage: Bacteria; Pseudomonadati; Pseudomonadota; Gammaproteobacteria; Enterobacterales; Enterobacteriaceae.
GUCGAACGGUAACAGGAAGCAGCUUGCUGCUUUGCUGACGAGUGGCGGACGGGUGAGUAAUGUCUGGGAAACUGCCUGAUGGAGGGGGAUAACUACUGGAAACGGUAGCUAAUACCGCAUAACGUCGCAAGACCAAAGAGGGGGACCUUCGGGCCUCUUGCCAUCGGAUGUGCCCAGAUGGGAUUAGCUAGUAGGUGGGGUAAAGGCUCACCUAGGCGACGAUCCCUAGCUGGUCUGAGAGGAUGACCAGCCACACUGGAACUGAGACACGGUCCAGACUCCUACGGGAGGCAGCAGUGGGGAAUAUUGCACAAUGGGCGCAAGCCUGAUGCAGCCAUGCCGCGUGUAUGAAGAAGGCCUUCGGGUUGUAAAGUACUUUCAGCGGGGAGGAAGGGAGUAAAGUUAAUACCUUUGCUCAUUGACGUUACCCGCAGAAGAAGCACCGGCUAACUCCGUGCCAGCAGCCGCGGUAAUACGGAGGGUGCAAGCGUUAAUCGGAAUUACUGGGCGUAAAGCGCACGCAGGCGGUUUGUUAAGUCAGAUGUGAAAUCCCCGGGCUCAACCUGGGAACUGCAUCUGAUACUGGCAAGCUUGAGUCUCGUAGAGGGGGGUAGAAUUCCAGGUGUAGCGGUGAAAUGCGUAGAGAUCUGGAGGAAUACCGGUGGCGAA